UUUUUCUUUUCUGUUUUUGUUGCCAUCUUCCUUUUUUAGAGUAUAU
RNAcentral lists this small RNA (46 nucleotides) under Arabidopsis thaliana (thale cress). RNAcentral's name for it is "ATSL161750". Lineage: Eukaryota; Viridiplantae; Streptophyta; Magnoliopsida; Brassicales; Brassicaceae. The record is from RNAcentral.